Molecule: ribosomal RNA, 1492 nt
Filed under: uncultured rumen bacterium
Lineage: Bacteria
Description: bacterial SSU rRNA
Rfam family: Bacterial small subunit ribosomal RNA
Source: RNAcentral
AGAGUUUGAUCCUGGCUCAGGAUGAACGCUAGCGGCAGGCUUAACACAUGCAAGUCGAGGGGCAGCGCGGGUAGCAAUACCUGGCGGCGACCGGCGAAAGGGUGAGUAACGCGUGAGCAACGUGCCCGUAUGUGGGGGAUAGUCGAUGGAAACGUCGCGUAAUACCCCGUAACACAAGGGACCGCAUGAUUCCUUGUUGAAAGAUUUAUUGCAUACGGAUCGGCUCGCGUGCCAUUAGGUAGACGGCGGGGUAACGGCCCACCGUGCCGACGAUGGCUAGGGGUUCUGAGAGGAAGGUCCCCCACAUUGGAACUGAGACACGGUCCAGACUCCUACGGGAGGCAGCAGUGAGGAAUAUUGGACAAUGGCCGGAAGGCUGAUCCAGCCAUGCCGCGUGCGGGAGGACGGCCCUAUGGGUUGUAAACCACUUUUGCGAGGGAGCAAUAAGGUCCACGUGUGGGCCGAUGAGAGUACCUCGCGAAUAAGCAUCGGCUAACUCCGUGCCAGCAGCCGCGGUAAUACGGAGGAUGCAAGCGUUAUCCGGAUUUAUUGGGUUUAAAGGGUGCGUAGGCGGUUUGCUAAGCGGGAGGUGAAAUGCCGGCGCUCAACGUCGGAAGUGCCUCCCGAACUGGUGGACUGGAAUGACUCUGCCGUGGGAGGAAUGUGUAGUGUAGCGGUGAAAUGCUUAGAGAUUACACAGAACACCGAUUGCGAAGGCAUCUCACGAAGGGUUGAUUGACGCUGAGGCACGAAAGCGUGGGGAUCAAACAGGAUUAGAUACCCUGGUAGUCCACGCAGUAAACGAUGAUGGCUAACCGCUGGGCUGUUCAGUUCAGUGGCCAAGCGAAAGCGAUAAGCCAUCCACCUGGGGAGUACGACCGCAAGGUUGAAACUCAAAGGAAUUGACGGGGGCCCGCACAAGCGGAGGAACAUGUGGUUUAAUUCGAUGAUACGCGAGGAACCUUACCCGGGCUCGAACGGCUGGUGAACGAUGCAGAGAUGCAAAGGUCCUUCGGGACGCCAGUCGAGGUGCUGCAUGGUUGUCGUCAGCUCGUGCCGUGAGGUGUCGGCUCAAGUGCCAUAACGAGCGCAACCCUUGCCGUCAGUUACCAUCAAGUAAUGUUGGGGACUCUGGCGGGACUGCCACCGCAAGGUGUGAGGAAGGGGGGGAUGACGUCAAAUCAUCAUGCCCCUUACGGUCUGGGCUACACACGUGCUACAAUGGCGGUCACAAAGGGAAGCGAACCUGCGAGGGAGAGCAAAUCCCAAAAAAGCCGUCCCAGUUCGGAUUGUAGUCUGCAACUCGACUGCAUGAAGCUGGAAUCGCUAGUAAUCGCGAAUCAGAAUGUCGCGGUGAAUACGUUCCCGGGUCUUGUACACACCGCCCGUCACGCCAUGGGAGUUGGAUAUGCCCGAAGUCAGUGACCCAACUUUAAGAGGGAGCUGCCGAAGAUGGAGCCAAUGACUGGGGUGAAGUCGUAACAAGGUAACC